CCCUUAGAUGUUCUGGGCCGCACGCGCGCUACACUGAUGCAUUCAACGAGCCUAUCCUUGACCGACCGGUCCGGGUAAUCUUUGAAUCUGCAUCGUGACGGGGAUAGAUUAUUGCAAUUAUUAAUCUUCAACGAGGAAUGCCUAGUAGGCGCAAGUCAUCAGCUUGCGUCGAUUACGUCCCUGCCCUUUGUACACACCGCCCGUCGCUCCUACCGAUUGGGUGUGCAGGUGAAAUGUUCGGAUCGGCCGUUUGUCGCGGUUUCCGCGUCAUGUGGCUGAGAAGUUCAUUAAACCCUCCCACCUAGAGGAAGGAGAAGUCGUAACA
Molecule: ribosomal RNA, 325 nt
Filed under: uncultured eukaryote
Lineage: Eukaryota
Description: partial 18S ribosomal RNA
Rfam family: Eukaryotic small subunit ribosomal RNA
Source: RNAcentral